UACGUAAGUGGCGAACGUUGUGCGGAAUCACUGGGCUUAAAGGGCGCGUAGGCGGGCAAGCAAGUCUGGGGUGAAAUCUUUCGGCCCAACCGGAAAAGGGCCUCGGAAACUGCUUGUCUGGAGGAAGGUAGGGGUGUGUGGAACUUCCGGUGGAGCGGUGAAAUGCGUAGAUAUCGGAAGGAACGCCGGUGGCGAAAGAGACGCACUGGAACUGUUCUGACUAUGAGGCGCGAAAGCCAGGGGAGCAAACAGG
Molecule: ribosomal RNA, 253 nt
Filed under: uncultured bacterium
Lineage: Bacteria
Description: partial 16S ribosomal RNA
Rfam family: Bacterial small subunit ribosomal RNA
Source: RNAcentral